GAUGAACGCUGGCGGCGUGCCUAAUACAUGCAAGUCGAGCGAACGGACGAGAAGCUUUCUUCUCUGAUGUUAGCGGCGGACGGGUGAGCAACACGUGGAUAACCUACCUAUAAGACUGGGAUAACUUCGGGAAACCGGAGCUAAUACCGGAUAAUAUUUUGAACCGCAUGGUUCAAAAGUGAAAGACGGUCUUGCUGUCACUUAUAGAUGGAUCCGCGCUGCAUUAGCUAGUUGGUAAGGUAACGGCUUACCAAGGCAACGAUGCAUAGCCGACCUGAGAGGGUGAUCGGCCACACUGGAACUGAGACACGGUCCAGACUCCUACGGGAGGCAGCAGUAGGGAAUCUUCCGCAAUGGGCGAAAGCCUGACGGAGCAACGCCGCGUGAGUGAUGAAGGUCUUCGGAUCGUAAAACUCUGUUAUUAGGGAAGAACAUAUGUGUAAGUAACUGUGCACAUCUUGACGGUACCUAAUCAGAAAGCCACGGCUAACUACGUG
Molecule: ribosomal RNA, 497 nt
Filed under: uncultured bacterium
Lineage: Bacteria
Description: partial 16S ribosomal RNA
Rfam family: Bacterial small subunit ribosomal RNA
Source: RNAcentral